UACGUAGGUGGCAAGCGUUGUCCGGAGUUACUGGGCGUAAAGCGCGCGCAGGCGGCUCGUCAAGCCUGACGUGAAAGCCCCCGGCUCAACCGGGGAGGGUCGUCGGGGACUGGCGGGCUUGAGGUCGGCAGGGGUUGGUGGAAUUCCCGGUGUAGCGGUGAAAUGCGUAGAUAUCUGGAGGAACACCUGUGGCGAAGGCGGCUAUCUGGUCCAAUUCUGACGCUGAGGCGCGAAAGGUAGGGGAGCAAACAGG
This 253-nucleotide ribosomal RNA is filed under the name uncultured bacterium. RNAcentral's name for it is "partial 16S ribosomal RNA". It matches the Rfam family "Bacterial small subunit ribosomal RNA", at positions 524 to 776 of the family's 1533-position model. The record is from RNAcentral.